ACACUUACUUGCCCAGGGAGAUACCAUUAUCACAAAGGUGUUUUUCCCAGGGUGAGGCUUAUCUAUUGCACUCUGGAUAUGCUGGCACCUGUGAUCUCUCAAAAUACGGAAAACUCGACUGCAUAGUUUGUGUUAAUGGGGACCUGCAUUCACACUCUCCCAU
Molecule: small nuclear RNA, 163 nt
Filed under: Neotoma lepida (desert woodrat)
Lineage: Eukaryota; Metazoa; Chordata; Mammalia; Rodentia; Cricetidae
Description: U1 spliceosomal RNA
Rfam family: U1 spliceosomal RNA
About the family: U1 is a small nuclear RNA (snRNA) component of the spliceosome (involved in pre-mRNA splicing). Its 5' end forms complementary base pairs with the 5' splice junction, thus defining the 5' donor site of an intron.
Source: Rfam by way of RNAcentral